This 65-nucleotide transfer RNA is filed under the name Lelecella limenitoides. RNAcentral describes it as "tRNA-Tyr". Lineage: Eukaryota; Metazoa; Arthropoda; Insecta; Lepidoptera; Nymphalidae. The record is from RNAcentral.
AAUAAAAUGGCUGAAUUAUAAGCGGUAAAUUGUAAAUUUAUUAAUGAGAAAUAUCUCUUUUAUUA